Molecule: long non-coding RNA, 389 nt
Organism: Oxyura jamaicensis (ruddy duck)
Lineage: Eukaryota; Metazoa; Chordata; Aves; Anseriformes; Anatidae
Exons: 3
Source: RefSeq, a predicted model, not a curated record
CAAGCACGGGCCCCGCAGCGCUCCCCUUACGCUCUCCGGGUGCUCCCCGCUCCUCUGCCUCUCCGCUACUUUCGGCGCACGUAAGGGAAUCACAGUUUCAGAUCAAUGAUAAUUCAGUGGGGGCAUGGAUAUCUGUCAGCUCCUUCAUCUGGUAUUGGAUUUGGAGGAAUAGAUUGCAAUAAUUCAGCAGUCUGUAAAUCUGUAAAUCUUCAUGGAAGAAUGAAUGCAACAACAUUCACCACAGCCAGUUCAGCUAAUUUCAUGAGCUGAUUUCCUUAAAAAGAAGAAUCAGAAUCAGAAGAAUUGCUGCUUUGUCCCUCUCAUCCAUAAACACCUCACUGUUGACCCCAUCUGACUUUUCUCCGCAUCAGUAAUAAAAAUUUUCAGAU